Long non-coding RNA from Musca domestica (house fly), 1562 nucleotides. RefSeq lists it as uncharacterized. The transcript has 3 exons. NCBI's taxonomy places the organism in Eukaryota, Metazoa, Arthropoda, Insecta, Diptera, Muscidae. The record is from RefSeq and is a predicted model, not a curated record.
GCGCCGUUGUGUGGUGGUGUUGGAUUUUUUCAACGAUACGCCAAGCAGCCAACAACAUUUCAUAUGAAUUCUGCCAUUUAGUCGUAAACGAGUGCUUGGAGACUUCACAUAUUGGAGGAUCAAAUCCACGUCAUAACUUGCAUUGGCAAAAUAUCUACUGCUCUACUGUGUGAGAAUACAGGAGAAGAAGAAAUAGAAAAAAAGUGAAAUACCAUACAAAAAAUUUGAUUUUUCCUCCAUGGGUGUUUUUUCAUGUGGAAUAUAGGAAACAAAGCAAAAUAAUACAGAAAUCAUAGUGUGUGAAAACAAGAAAUUGUAUAGAGAAGAAAUUUUUGGUAGAAUAGGAAAAAAUUACUGGAUUUAAUUAAAAUCCACACACACACGCACGCAAAAAAGUGACCAUUUGUGUUUGGAGAAACCUUAAAAAAUUAAAACGUAAAAAAACCUGAAUUGUCAUUUGAAAAAAAAAAAAAAAUAAAAAUUAAAUUAUAAAGUGGCAAAAAUAUUUUCCCUUCAAAAGUCUCGCUGAGAAGACAAAAAGCAAAGAAAACGCCAACUCUGUACUAAAAUGGUGGUGAUUCACUGACAAAAGAAAAACGGAGAAUUGUCAAAUAGAAAAAAAGUAUUUUUUUUGUAUGUGAAAGUGCAAGCAAAAGGAUAACUGCAGCAGCACAUUGUUUUUUUACUUCCAAACAAAGGAUAACAACUUGAAAAUUAAUUGUGAUAUUUUUUGGUUUUACCCAGAACCAAUCAACAUUCUUAUACGAGUGCAAUUUUUAAUGCUUUAAAUUAAAAAAGUAAAACAAGAAAAAAAAAGGAUACAAACCAACCAAUCAUCUCCACACCAACGCUACUCCAUUAAAAUUAACAAAGUGUGUUUGGUUAACAAGGCAAACGAAGAAUUAAAAGGAUUAACUCUCUCUCUUUCCCACUUGCUGCAAUAACUGUGAUUUUUCUUGGAUUAUUUUUCCUGCUGCACACACCUAAAUUUUGAAAAAAAAAAAAAAAAAGGAUUUAAUUCUUUACUGCAGUUUAACUCAAAAAAUUACAAACAAUCUAUUUGGAUUUAACAAAGGCACAUUCUCCCGAUUUCUAUAUUGAUUUUACAGUAACUGCGUAUAUUUUGCUAGACAACUAACAAACAAAGUAAGUUUACAAAAAACACAUACAUGCGAUUUACAUGGACGCAUGGUAAGUUCCUUUCUGUAUUUCACAUAUUUGGAGGUUUUGCUUUAUCAGUGAUUUAAUAAAUAAUGAGGCUAUGCUAGCAGUCUUCUGCGACAUAUGACAGAACACACUACACACUCUAUAUACCGCAUUUUAAACGAUUACCCCAAAAAUCAUCAGGCAGGAAAAUGCUAACCUAUAUAGACAACUAGCAAGUAUCGCUACUACUUCGUCUGCGAAAAGUCCAUCUUAAAAAUUUAGAUUUGUUCCAACAGUUUGUGUUAGGCCUUUUUGGCAUUCAAAAUGCAUAAUUUAUUCAGGUUGACAACAUUUUUCAAUCACAACUUCAUACAUAGUACUAAAUUUUCGGACUUUCGCCUUUUACACCAAAAAAG